AUUGUGUGUCUUAAUUUCAUUGUGCGACUAGUCGCACAAUACAUUUGCCCAAAGUUCGUCAAAAUGUGUCUUGUGCAACUUUAAACCUAUCUGGAGAAGUCGCACAACGUUUUUGUCCAAAGUGUGUCCAAAGGAUGUCCAUGUAAAACUGUCUAUGCGAUGGACGAGACCGUAACUUUUAUUUUUGCAAGUGUCUGUGAAAGUUUGAGCGUCUAUAUUUGAGGCAAUCAGAAGCCUGUUUAUAAAAAAAACCGAGCCAAUGAACACCAGGCUUUCUAAUCGACGCAUGCGCGUGCACCCGCUUGUUGGACAUGUGCAGUGGGACUGUCAAACGUUGUUUAUCAUAAUGGAUAGCGGAUUUAUAUUUUAUAGAACCAUAUGUGAGUGGCUUUACAGAAACAACCAAAGAACUUGGAGACCUUCUUAAAUGAUGUAGAGUUUGCACUGAAGGAGGGGUUCUUAAAGGAUGUAGGUCAAGAUACAUCACCCACAGCCAGUAAAUAGGUGUGCUCAUCAACAGGUCAAGAUACAUCGCCCACAGCUGGUCAAGAGGUGUGCUCAUCGGCAGGUCAAGAUACAUCACCCACAGCUAGCCAAGAUGUUUGGCCAUCAGCACAUCAAGAUACAUCCCCUACAGCCAGUCAAGAGGUUUGCUCAUCAGAACGUCAAGAUACAUCACACACAGCCAGUCAGGAGGUGAACCUUAGGAAAUACACUGCAACAUUAAGCCAGAAGCAUGGACGAAGAUGACCACACUAUAUCAGAUGAGGAUGAAGAGGAAUAUGAGGGAAAAAGAAAAAGGAAGCCCCCCAAAAAGGCUGCAAAACGUCAGAAAUUCACAGAGGUAGAAACAGAGGAAAUAAAAACUUACUUUAGUGAAUAUCUAAAAAGUGGAAUUUGUCCGCGGAAACAGCAGGUUGAAGAUGCCAAACAGAAAAGUCGUAAGAAAAAUGGGCAAAUUUGGAAAAGGUCAAACGACAAGAUAAUUAAGAAAAUUAGUGCAAUGAAUCAUAAGAAAAAAUAAAAAACAUG
This is a long non-coding RNA of Dreissena polymorpha, 1032 nucleotides long. RefSeq lists it as uncharacterized. Lineage: Eukaryota; Metazoa; Mollusca; Bivalvia; Myida; Dreissenidae. The transcript has 4 exons. The record is from RefSeq and is a predicted model, not a curated record.